RNAcentral lists this long non-coding RNA (685 nucleotides) under Cottoperca gobio. RNAcentral describes it as "lncRNA (ENSCGOG00000000976.1)". Lineage: Eukaryota; Metazoa; Chordata; Actinopteri; Perciformes; Bovichtidae. The record is from RNAcentral.
CUUGCUGUGACCGACAGCAUCAGCACUAUUGUGGAUGAGAGGGAUAGAGAUAGAGGCUGCUCUGCCUUUCAUACAACACAACGUCGCAGUCACUAAUUAGUAUGCUAAUAAUUAACGAUAGUCGCUUUCAGUACAAGAAGUAACUUUUAAAUCAGUUAGGAUACUUCGUUUUUGCAUGAAAGGACGCGCGAGCGAGCAGCAACCUGACAACUAGCCUACAAUUUGAGAUUUGAAAGGUUGUAACAGUAGUAUCCCUGCAGCAGCCAAGUUGCAUGCAAAAUAGCCUUAUUGAGCCGAGGCUCGGACUACUGCACAUCACACUGGAGAGUCUCUUCGCUUCCAAGAACAAGGAUGAACAGGAGAAACUGAGGUGGAUCAUCUCAAGUGUUGUGGCUCUGGUGUGAUAAAUGUCAGCCUGUCCUGAUAUUUGUAUGGGUCUUUCUCCUCAACCAAAGAUCUCUCCUGGCAGACUGAACAAACGAGUCGACUCUCUGCCUGUCCUCAGUCAACUUGUGGUCUGACGGCACUCACCGACAUCAAAGGUACACCCACCACUCUCUCUGCACCUCCACUUCCUUUAAUCACUUUGUUCAGCUCAUCAUUGCAGUAAUUACAUUUCCUGACAGUUUUUUUUUAGUUUGCAAAUCCAAGACUUCACUUUCUCUGUUAUCUCUCCUCAAGGGAG